GGAAUAUUGGACAAUGGGGGCAACCCUGAUCCAGCAAUGCCGCGUGUGCGAAGAAGGUCUUCGGAUUGUAAAGCACUUUCGACGGGGACGAUGAUGACGGUACCCGUAGAGGAAGCCCCGGCUAACUUCGUGCCAGCAGCCGCGGUAAUACGAAGGGGGCUAGCGUUGCUCGGAAUGACUGGGCGUAAAGGGCGUGUAGGCGGUUUACACAGUCAGAUGUGAAAUCCCCGGGCUUAACCUGGGAGCUGCAUUUGAUACGUGUAGACUAGAGUGUGAGAGAGGGUUGUGGAAUUCCCAGUGUAGAGGUGAAAUUCGUAGAUAUUGGGAAGAACACCGGUGGCGAAGGCGGCAACCUGGCUCAUGACUGACGCUGAGGCGCGAAAGCGUGGGGAGCAAACAGGUUAGAUACCCUGGUAGUCCACGCCUGUAAAACGAUGU
This 438-nucleotide ribosomal RNA is filed under the name uncultured bacterium. Its description in RNAcentral is "partial 16S ribosomal RNA". It matches the Rfam family "Bacterial small subunit ribosomal RNA", at positions 358 to 812 of the family's 1533-position model. The record is from RNAcentral.